GCUAUUUUGGCAGAUAAGUGUAAUGGAUUUAGAAUCUAUAAAUGUAUAUUGUUAAUACAUAUAGCA
Molecule: transfer RNA, 66 nt
Filed under: Elliptorhina javanica
Lineage: Eukaryota; Metazoa; Arthropoda; Insecta; Blattodea; Blaberidae
Description: tRNA-Leu
Source: RNAcentral